RNAcentral lists this unclassified non-coding RNA (658 nucleotides) under Hevea brasiliensis (rubber tree). The record is from RNAcentral. Lineage: Eukaryota; Viridiplantae; Streptophyta; Magnoliopsida; Malpighiales; Euphorbiaceae.
AUCAGCACUCCAACUCAAACUGGUGCAGUAUAUAACCUUGGUUUUGCUAUUGCCAGAAGUAGAAGUUGCAUUGCCAGACAUUUCAGUCUCUUGCUUGAGAUCAACACGAAGAUCAACAACAAUACUCUUACUCUCCAAAUCCCAAAUUUUAAUACUAGACUCAGUUGCAGCACAUAACCAGUACCUAUUGGGGCUAAAACAAAGAGCAUGAAUAAUAGAACCAGAAUCAAGGGAGUACAAUUUCUUCCCUUCAGCCAAAUCCCACAACAAAAUCACUCCAUCCUUUCCUCCACUAGCACACAAAGAACCAUCUGGAGAUACUGCAGCAGUAUUCACAUAACCAGUGUGCCCAGCAAGAGUAGCGCGAAGCUUACAGUUAGAAAGAUUCCAGAUUUUCACAGUCCGAUCCCAUGAUCCAGAAACAAUAGUUGGUUGAAGAUUAUUUGGGCUAAAACGAACACAAGACACCCAAUCAGAAUGUGAAUCUUGAUCCUGAAUCGUGUACUUACACUCACCCAAAGUGUUCCAUAGCUUAAUCGAUUUGUCACGAGAUGCAGAAACAAUCUGACGGUUAUCAACUGAAAAUGCAACGGAUAAAACAUCCUUCGUGUGUCCAACGAAACGCCGGGCAGUGGUUCCAGCUUGAAGAUCCCAUAAA